AAUGAACGCUGGCGGUAGGCCUAACACAUGCAAGUCGAACGGCCGCACAGUAAGAGCUUGCUCUUACGGGUGGCGCGUGGCGGACGGUUGCGUAAUACAUCGGAAUCUACUUUUUCGUGGGGGAUAACGUAGGGAAACUUACGCUAAUACCGCAUACGACCUACGGGGGAAAGCAGGGGAUCUUCGGACCUUGCGCGAGUGAAUUAGCCGAUGUCGGAUUAGCUAGUUGGCGGGGUAAAGGCCCACCAAGGCGACGAUCCGUAGCUGGUACGAGAGAGUGAUCAGCCACACUGGAACUGAGACACGGUCCAGACUCCUACGGGAGGCAGCAGUGGGGAAUAUUGGACAAUGGGCGAGAGCCUGAUCCAGCCAUACCGCGUGGAUGAAGAAGGCCUUCGGGUUGUAGAGCCCUUUUGUUGGGAAAGAAAAGCAGCAGGUUAAUCCCCCGCUGUUCUGACGGUACCAAAAGAAUAAGCACCGGCUAACUUCGUG
This 492-nucleotide ribosomal RNA is filed under the name uncultured bacterium. RNAcentral describes it as "partial 16S ribosomal RNA". It matches the Rfam family "Bacterial small subunit ribosomal RNA", at positions 29 to 507 of the family's 1533-position model. The record is from RNAcentral.